Molecule: ribosomal RNA, 253 nt
Filed under: uncultured bacterium
Lineage: Bacteria
Description: partial 16S ribosomal RNA
Rfam family: Bacterial small subunit ribosomal RNA
Source: RNAcentral
UACGUAGGGCGCAAGCGUUGUCCGGAAUUAUUGGGCGUAAAGAGCUCGUAGGCGGCCUGUUGCGUCCGCUGUGAAAUCCCGGGGCUCAACCCCGGGCCUGCAGUGGAUACGGGCUGGCUAGAGGCAGGCAGGGGAGAACGGAAUUCCUGGUGCAGCGGUGAAAUGCGCAGAUAUCAGGAGGAACACCGGUGGCGAAGGCGGGUCUCUGGGCAACAACUGACGCUGAGGAGCGAAAGCGUGGGGAGCGAACAGG